CUCGUAUUCACCUGGACAAACCUGCCGGGGCUGUAGCCUGGCAAGAAAAUGCGGGAUGCUGUAACUGUGAUCGCACUGCAGGGAAAAUGCAUGUGUGCCCCGAUACUGAGCAGCAGACACAAGAGAGGGGCCAUAAAUCCUGAUUCAGGACUGGAUUACUGACUUCCACAGGUGACCUCUGCUCAGAGUCCUCCUGAGUGCAGAAAACAGAGCUGCAAUGGAGCCGUCUUCUUUUUACGAACCAGAAGGUAAUGAAACUUCUUCAAAAUCAUUAAUCGUCUGCAGAAUUCCAGCUCAAAGCUAAAAGCACAGCAUGACUCCGACUUCAAAUGCUGCAUCCCUUUUUAGGCACCAAAUGAGAUGCAUCCCAACAUUCGGAUGCACUUCCAAACCUGAUGAUUGUUGCUAUAAGCCUCCUGCUGUUGUCCUGCCAACCUCUGGCUGAACCCUCUGACAUUUGUCUGCCAUCUUCUCUUUGAAAACAACAUCAAACCAAACCGUAAAAAGUCCAGGCCUCCAUCAUCUGGCUCUUAGAGGACGAUGGACGGCAUUCCCAGGACAGCUAGGAGCACUGAGAGAGGCCACCUCUCUGGUCUUCUUUUGGUUCUGCCACCACUUCUCCCUCCGGUUCUUUUGGGAGAAAAGUGAACAAAUCCUCCAAUAAAUCCAC
This 670-nucleotide long non-coding RNA is filed under the name Oryzias sinensis (Chinese medaka). RNAcentral's name for it is "lncRNA (ENSOSIG00000019914.1)". Lineage: Eukaryota; Metazoa; Chordata; Actinopteri; Beloniformes; Adrianichthyidae. The record is from RNAcentral.